GGCCUUCAAAUUCGCGCCGAAACGCCUAUAUGCGUUUCUGCCGGCUCGUCCGGCUAUGGCGAUAAAUUGCAGUGUUUAAUAGACGCAGCGGACCCGGGGGCAGUACCCGGCGGCUCCACCAAAUGCCCCGUUCCGGCGGGGUCUCUGACGGGGCCGAACUAGGAUCGACGUGUGUUGAAACGCACUGUUUUUGCCCGGGCUGAGUAACCCGUUAAAGGCUCAUAACCACAAGUGCCAACGAUAACGAGGCGCUCGCGAUUGCCGCGUAACAAGGUCCUCACGGACUAAGUUACAAGGACGAAAGCGCGGUUGGGACCGCACCGGGCAACAGAAGCGGUAACG
Molecule: transfer-messenger RNA, 342 nt
Filed under: Alphaproteobacteria bacterium
Lineage: Bacteria; Pseudomonadati; Pseudomonadota; Alphaproteobacteria
Rfam family: Alphaproteobacteria transfer-messenger RNA
About the family: Bacterial tmRNA, also known as 10Sa RNA or SsrA, is named for its dual tRNA and mRNA-like properties.
Source: RNAcentral